CUCGACGGUUCCAUCUCGAUCUCCUCACAUCGUCUGUGUUUCGCUGUCUUGCGCCCUUCGUUGAAGGCUUGUAUAAUCACAGACACCAUCACAGCAGUACCCACUACAGAGACGUAGCAGACGAACAAGUACACGUGACUCAUACAGUAUAAGAGCCACCCCUUCACAGAGACAGAGAGGGGGAAGUGGCUGCACGUUCAGUCGUGGGACUGUGCCGUCUGCCGCGGAGUGCGUUGAGUCCAACGCCAUGGAGCUCAGCCCGUCGAAUGCGACGGAGGAGGCUCACCACAAAUCGUUGAACCCGCAGGUGAACUCCGUCUGCCACUGCGCGCAUCUGAGGCUGAAAGGCCCGCUGCACGUCGAGAAGCUGCGCGAGCUGCUCAAGAGGGUGCGCACGACCGUGCCGGGCCUCAUCGAGCUUCACUUUGGCGAAAGCAUGAAUGUCUCCGCGAGCAGCGCCGACUCCGCUGAGAGCAACACGCACGCCCUCUUCAGCCGCCACCAGAACGGGCAUUACCUCAAAAUGUACAAGACCCACCCGGCCCACAUGGAUCUCAUGAACUAUCUAAUGAGCAGGGCGGAGCGCCCGGCGACAGUGGUUGACUUCGUCAACGUCGCUUCCAGCCUUUGACAACCUGUCAACGGACCAGCCACCCAAAACGGUGGACGUCCGUCACACAUACGCACAAACAUGGAGAGGCAGAAGUGCGCUGUCGUGCACGCCGGUCGGCCGGUGCGCGAAAAAAAAAAGAAUAUGUAGACCAGACAUGUGCGCUCAUCAAGUGAGGCAGGUACACUCUGAGACGCAUUCGCCUCCGUUGCACCUCAUAAACGUCAAGAGCGAAAAAGGUAGCAUGGGGAGCUGCGCUCCCGCAAAUCAAGCUAACUAACCACCAGGAGAAAUAUAUGUGCAUUAGCGGAGGAGGCUGGCCCUUGAAGGAGCAGAAAUGGUGGAUGUAGGGGAGGAAAGUUGGGGUAUGGUGGUAUCUCCUCUUUUAUAGGACGGCAUAUUGGCGAUGCUCCAUUCACGAGCGUGGUGAGGCGAUACAUGGCCAUUGUGGGCGUAGUCGAGAGGGGGCGCUGAUUUUGACCUAGCACGAAGAGCGUAGCCCUCUGUAGGUACAGCAGAGUGAUGCUUGAGAAAGAAUGAGAGCGAUGCUGUUACUCCGUGCGCUAGUAGUACUGCUCACGGCGUGCCGAAUUUUUCGUUUUGACGGCGCCGCCUCUUUGCUUAAUGUGCGCCGCAUGUCCAUUUUUUUUUUCGUCCUUUUGUUGCAACCGAAGCGGGUCUCUCACUACCUUGCUCUUUCCUGAGCCUUUCCCUUUGCUAGUACUGCUCCGAUGCGCUCCUUGAUCACCGCCACGUACCUCUCGCAAGCCUCUGCCACUCUUCGCUGCUGCUCUUCCUGCACGCUUAGCUUAUUUUCUUUCACGGGCACCAUCCGCGAAGAGGCGCUGAUGGGGGCAUCCCUUCUCAAUAUUCCUCGUUCUUUUCCGCGCGUUUUUGUUCCUCGCCUGGCACCGCCAGCAACACCAAUACGCUACGACGCGCGAGAAGAAGAAACACUGACACUGGCCCUAUAACCACGACAACCUCAAAACAGAUAGACUAGCAUUGCAGAGUCUGUAUUGUCGCCCUCGGCCACGCGCAGGCAUUUCUGCACACACGUACGCGCGCCUGACCAUCAGCCAUUGACUGCGGACACCCACUCUUCUCGCGUGGUACAAAGAGAGACGCUCUCGAUUACUGUGUUCUUUUUGCUUGUUUUUGCUCCUACCUCUUUGGUUUUCUGUUUUCUUUGUGACGGGAGACGACUGCGUGGCAGGCAUAAGUUUGAAGCGGUCCUCGCGCCUUGCUUGUCGACAUGUACGUGUGGAUGCGCAGGUACUCCUAUAUUUGUAUAUCUAUCUGUGCAUGUAGAUGAUUGCGGUAGACGUGGCCGGGUCCUCUUCAUGCAAGAGGUUUUUUUUGUGUCUACGUGUGUGUGUUUACAAAAGAAGGACGACGACACGG
RNAcentral lists this unclassified non-coding RNA (2014 nucleotides) under Leishmania donovani. RNAcentral describes it as "gene:LdHU3.27.0990(CDS-product:Stress_responsive_ A/B_Barrel_Domain_putative)". The record is from RNAcentral. Lineage: Eukaryota; Euglenozoa; Kinetoplastea; Trypanosomatida; Trypanosomatidae.